AAACUAGGAUUAGAUACCCUAUUAUUUUAAGUUUAUUUUUAAAGUAGUAAAUUAUGUUUUUUAAACUUAAUUUUUCUGGCGGUUCACUACUCUAACAGGAGGAGCUUGUCAAAUUAGAUUGAUAACCCGCUUUUAUUUUCACCAUUGGUUUAUCUUAUGUACGGCUGUUAAGCUUUAAGAUUUAGCUUAUUGUUUUAACUUUUAAAAGCUUAGUUCAGGUCAAUGUGUAGACUAUGCUGUGGAUUUUGAUGAGCUACUUUUAUUAGUUUUAGUAUUUGUCUUCUUUUUAAAUUGGAUUUGUUAGUAAAGCUGAAAUAAAACUUUAGCUUGGUGUAGACUUUUGGUGGAAGUACAUAUCGCCCGUCACUCUUUUGAUAGAUAAGUCGUAACAUAGUA
This 396-nucleotide ribosomal RNA is filed under the name Cheyletus malaccensis. RNAcentral describes it as "partial 12S ribosomal RNA". The record is from RNAcentral. Lineage: Eukaryota; Metazoa; Arthropoda; Arachnida; Trombidiformes; Cheyletidae.